AAGAUGGCCUCUUCAUAAUCCACCUGACAUGACAAACAUUCAGCAAAGAGAGAGCAAAUAUAAAUUUUAAAUUUGAGAUCAACACUUUUCACUUUGGGAUACCAAUGCACAAACUAUGCACAAGCGCCAACUGGCAAAACACAAAUUAAAGAGAUUUCUUUUCUUCCAUCAUUAAUUUGUUUAAAAAAUAAAAUUUGACCACCAUAACAAUGCUAUCAAAAAAACUAAAACCAAUGUUCUAAAUCAUAAUU
RNAcentral lists this unclassified non-coding RNA (251 nucleotides) under Hevea brasiliensis (rubber tree). Lineage: Eukaryota; Viridiplantae; Streptophyta; Magnoliopsida; Malpighiales; Euphorbiaceae. The record is from RNAcentral.